RNAcentral lists this ribosomal RNA (578 nucleotides) under Streptomyces sp. I14A-01104. Its description in RNAcentral is "bacterial SSU rRNA". It matches the Rfam family "Bacterial small subunit ribosomal RNA", at positions 95 to 687 of the family's 1533-position model. Lineage: Bacteria; Bacillati; Actinomycetota; Actinomycetes; Kitasatosporales; Streptomycetaceae. RNAcentral also lists the same sequence under 1 other name. The record is from RNAcentral.
GUGGCGAACGGGUGAGUAACACGUGGGCAAUCUGCCCUUCACUCUGGGACAAGCCCUGGAAACGGGGUCUAAUACCGGAUAACACUCUGUCCCGCAUGGGACGGGGUUAAAAGCUCCGGCGGUGAAGGAUGAGCCCGCGGCCUAUCAGCUUGUUGGUGGGGUAAUGGCCUACCAAGGCGACGACGGGUAGCCGGCCUGAGAGGGCGACCGGCCACACUGGGACUGAGACACGGCCCAGACUCCUACGGGAGGCAGCAGUGGGGAAUAUUGCACAAUGGGCGAAAGCCUGAUGCAGCGACGCCGCGUGAGGGAUGACGGCCUUCGGGUUGUAAACCUCUUUCAGCAGGGAAGAAGCGAAAGUGACGGUACCUGCAGAAGAAGCGCCGGCUAACUACGUGCCAGCAGCCGCGGUAAUACGUAGGGCGCAAGCGUUGUCCGGAAUUAUUGGGCGUAAAGAGCUCGUAGGCGGCUUGUCACGUCGGAUGUGAAAGCCCGGGGCUUAACCCCGGGUCUGCAUUCGAUACGGGCUAGCUAGAGUGUGGUAGGGGAGAUCGGAAUUCCUGGUGUAGCGGUGAAAU